Molecule: unclassified non-coding RNA, 5335 nt
Filed under: Leishmania donovani
Lineage: Eukaryota; Euglenozoa; Kinetoplastea; Trypanosomatida; Trypanosomatidae
Description: gene:LdHU3.36.5530(CDS-product:telomerase_reverse _misc_RNAase_putative)
Source: RNAcentral
AGGCGCGGGUGCCGCUCAUCUGCCGCCCUUUCGCCCAUUUCUCUGCCCGCCCCAUUCAUGAACGCGCGCGCUCUUUAUCCAGCCUUCCCGCACUGCCACCUCCACCAAGCACAGGCAGCGGAGUGGCACACGCAAGACACCCCCACCCCCGAUUUCUGCUUUGUAUCGUACGCCAUAGGCACCUGAAAGUACUAUAGAGGACAGAAAAGCUGUCUAGGCACUUCAUGGAGGACAAGCUGCGAAGCCGCUGCUAGCCGUUCUCUCGGAGAACCUCACCCCACGCUGCUCUAGUUCUUCCGAUCUUCUCUCCAGGUGCUUUUCCGUGUUACCCCGCGUCCCUCUUCCCCUCUACCAGCACCCCUCGCGUCUCCGCCUUGUCUCGCUCAUGUUACACCGCAACCCAUGUCCGCCUCGUUUCCAUCUAUUCCGGGCUUUGCCGGCCCGCUGUCCCUCAAAGCCUUCCUGGAAGAGUACUUUGGCCUCCAUCUCACGUUUGCCGUAGAAACGGCGUCUCCAUCACCACGGGCAGCCGCAGCGGCAGAGGCACCGAGUGCUGCAGGGUUUCGUGCUUUGCGUGAUGUGGUGCUGCCGCCCAACCAAUCAUUCCUGGUCGUCGUGUACGUGGCGCUGCACGCCUCUUCUUCCCCUCCGCCUACCACAGCACACGCAUCCCCAACACCACCGACACCGGCUCCGGGUUGCGCCGCGUCUGCCACGGGGUUUGGGCGGCUUCGGCAGCCGCUGACCCAUCAGACGGCGGCAUCGACAGCUCACGAUACAUAUGUGGCACGAUGCAGCCCCGCCGACCGACCGAACUCUUCCUGUUCGUCUUCGUCAUCCACGGGCAAGAACGGCAACGCUCGUGGUCUCUGGCGUUCCUCCGCCUUUUGGCUUCUCUACACCAACACUUCUCAUCGACCCCUCACCGACGCUCUGCUGCGCCACCCGUGGUGGGCAUCGUUUGCCGCCUGCCUGGGUCCCGCAGCUAUGGGGUUUAUCGAGAUGUACUGCCCUAUUGUUCUUCAGCUGGAGGCGAUGGCUGGCGGGGUGCAGGUGCUCGGACCUGCCCUGAAACAUGCAGCAUUAGAGACGUCGUUUUCCGCGACGGCGCCGUCAUCGGAGAUGAAGGGCCCGCCGCCACAGGGAAGCGGCUAUGUCUCUUCACGUGGUGUGAAGCGUGCCGUCGACACAGGCGAAUGCUCCGGGUUUCUGCCGCUUCAAAAGCAGAGGCGUGUGGAGGCGCCGCCAAAGGCAAAGGCGGGACGAAGGCUCCAGCGAGGGGUCGUCCCGUGUAGCCGUCCACGCCGAGACGAUCCUUUUGCCAGUCCCGUGAACCGCGCGGCGAUGCCCGUCACCUGGGCGGCCGCGUUGACACGCACCGAUGUUCCGCGUACGCGACUCUACAGUGUGCGCGUCUCGGAUAGCGACGGCGCCGGUGACGGAAGCGGCGGCGCGCUUCCGCUGCCAGCGGGCUUCCUCGAGGCUCAGUGGCUUCGCCGCCAUCCGCAUAGUCUGCACCGCGUGCUGCAAGCCGCUCUGCCAAAGAGGGUGGCCUACGGGGCAUCUGCGCGGCGCUACUCUGUGGGUGCUAGCGAGAGGGUCACAGGAUGCACCAGUGUAGAGGACAUACCGAUGUGGCACGUGGCGCACGUCUUCCGUUGGUUAGUGCUGCAGCCUCCUCAGAGCGGCGCGGACGCUUCUCCGACAACCCCACCGAAGUUCGACUUGCCGUCCUACCUGCGCCGUCUUCUGUCGACUGUUGUCGACCAGUGCAGUCGCUUGGAUCUCCGCGGGGCCGCCCUAAAGCAUACCGGCUACCUGGAGGAAGCUUUCCGUCGUCAGCAGCAAGGCGUGGAGCCGUGGGAUGUGCAGCGGCUCUCCACCCCCGUCGAUGUGGUGGUCUCCUACCUGCGCACACUGCUGUCCACUCUACGCUGGGCACCUUUGAAGGAGGCCAAGAACAGGUCGUUUUGGGGACGCGAUGCAGCCGGUAGCGAACGUGUGCUCGACGCGCUCAUGGGAGCGGUGCGGAACUGGCUGAUCGCCGGCCGCCACGCCAUCGUUCCAGUCUCCCGCUUCUUGGACGGCGUGCCUGUGGCUCAGGUGCCGUGGCUAAACGGAUUCUACACCACGACCCCUUCGCUGCCGUUCUCAGCAGCGACUUCGUCCGCGGCUCGUCACGCGCGCCGCGAGCGCUCGCACGUUCAGCAGCGUGUUUGGCUUCAGUUCGUCUUGUUCCUCACGCAGGACAUACUGCCUUUCUUGCUGCGCGCGUCCUUCACGAUUACGUGGAGUUCCAAGAAUACGCACAAACUUCUUUUUUUCCCUGCAUUUGUGUGGCGUAGACUGAUCCGCCGCGAGGUGCGUCGUACUCGAUCUUGUGGUGCCCCGCGUUCGCAGAUGCCACUGGCCGGGGAAAGCGCUCGCAGUGUUGGUGCUGAGCGUGUUGCGUUGUCCUCGGCACCAUGCGCAUGUGAAGGCGCGGCUACGGCUGCGCUCCCCACGCCCCACUCAGCGGCUUCCAAGGCAUCUGCGGCCAUUUCUGCACCGAGAGACGUAUGGCGCGCCGUUCGUACUGGCGGUGUGUUGGCGCAUCGGGGCGCGCGCGCGACCCUUGCCACACGCGGCGGCGGUGCAUCCUGCCUGUACGCUAGCGUUCGCUUCCGCCCUGACCGGCGCAAGCUGCGACCCAUUGCCGUGGUGCGCAGCGCGUCUCUGCGGUCGUUGAAAGAAAUGGCCCGUGGCUCACCGAGCCCGUACAGCCACGCAAGCGCCAUCGUACGCUUGUUGUGCAGACUAGGGUGCAGUGACACCGAUGGUCAGCUGCCGGCUGCGACAGCGACACUGCUCAGGCGGGUGCAGGCACGCAGCCGUCACAACCACCAUACUGGCGUUCAUCGCUUUCCCCACCCGCUGCCCCCGCACCUUCCGCACAAGGCAGCAUUGCGGGACGCACUGCGCUGCUUGGUAAGCGGAGUGGAGGAGCAGCGCGUGCGGGACGGUCUGCCUCGCCUGAGCAACCUCUCCCACCAAGACGAGUACGCAGAGCUGCGCAGUUUUUGCGAGGAGGUGCGGAGGAGGCCCGCUCUGCCGUGCGAAGGUCCUGCGGGGACAGCGCCAGUGGUUUCAUCCGCGUCACCGCCGAGCGCGGCUGCCUGUUGUUUCGCGCCUUACGUUACCCUCGUCCGCAGCGAUGCCUCGCGUUGCUACGAUAACUUACCACAAGAGCGGGUGCUCGCAGCAGUGGCGUCUCUGGUGAAGCAUGACGCCUACCGCGUGCUUCGCUUUACCGCCAUUCACGCCCUGGAUGGCGAGGCAGCGUGCAAGGGUGGGUGCCUGCUCCGGCGCACCUUCACGACGCGCACCAUCGCGUGCGCGGAGGCGGAGUGCGGCGUUCUGGCUCGAAUUCCUCGCGGCCACAUCUAUUGGGAGGAGGAGGAGGAGGGGCGCACACUGAGUGGGCCCCAUACCACCGCUGCCGUUUCUCGCACAACCAACGCUAGCAGCCGCUGCGGCGCGAACCUGAUUUCCGGUGCCGCUGUCCGCGCACUCCUGAGCGAACACUUACGGCACCAUCUCGUUGUCGUGUCGGGAGGCAACUUGCUCGAACAGCGCGUCGGAAUCCUGCAGGGCUCCCCGGUGGCGAUGCUCCUGUGCGACCGCCUCUUCUCCGACGUCGUGGACACAGCUCUGUCGGGUAUCCUGAGCGAGCACGCGGAGCGGUCGCUGCUGCUGCGUCGGGUCGACGAUGUGCUUGUUGCCACCACAUCACCCGCUGCGGCGGAGAGGUGCCUGCAGGCGAUGCAGCGCGGCUGGCCUUCGGUGGGGUACCUGAGCAACCCGAGCAAGUUAACGCUGUCGACGGCAUGCGGCAGCCUCGUUCCCUGGUGCGGUCUUCUCCUACACGACACGACGCUCGAGGUCAGCGUGGAGUGGCGGCGUAUUGGGGUUCUAUUGGCGUCUCUCCGCGUCGGCGAUCCCCACUACGUGCAUCGUGGGGAUCACGAGCCGUUGUACUUGACGCAGCGCUUUCUUGCAGUGUUGCAGCUGCGUGUGGCACCCACGGUGCUGUGCGGACGUAUGAACUCCAAAACCCGUCAGCUGCAGACCUUCUACGAGGUUGGUCUGCUGUGGAGCCGUGUGGUGCUGGAGAAGGUGCAGGAGGCCUUGCCGGCGGCGCGUAAUCGCUGUGUGGCGGUGCUACUGCUGCAUCCGCUCGCCGUAUGCGUGGGUCGUCUGUGUCGGCUGUUGAAUCGUCAUCAGCGCUUUCUAGCGGCCCGGAAGUCUGCGUGCGACGUGUCGGCUGCCGAGGUGCGGGCCUGCGUUUUAACAGCACUUCAUCGCACGGUGCAAGCCAAGUUGAGGGUGCUACAGGCUCGCACCGUUCGCGUGAUGACCGCGCAGAGAGGGCGGACACCGAGAGGGACCUCUCUGAAAGGGCGACAGAAGCCCCCUUGCACCAACAAGGCAUCGUCUGCUGGAUGCAAGUAUUGCGAGCGACGCCGCAAAGGCCGUAAUCGUCGUUGUAGCACGCGUGUCUGCUUGCGCUCCUUCUGGUGGUUGGCUGCCGCAGAGGUCGAGUUGCAGUGGCGCCGCUCCCUCGGAGCCCUGCACAGAGCAGCACCACACCCUGGCGAAGCGCGCGGGUCGACCGCACCUUCACUUUCACCGAGUGCGUCGGCAUCAUUGCUGAUGGAAGAUGGCCCUUUAUCGAUGCACGCGCGUGCGCUAAGCGCGACGCGACUCUCGCAGACUUGAGGGAAAGUGAGAAGCACUACUUCGAAUGAUGUGUGCUCAUGUAUGUGCCCCCUCGGUAAGUGUUGGGGUUACCUCUGAUGGUGCCUCGGUAUCUACUGCGUCUGGUCCAUACUCCGCUAGAUCCUCCCCUGCGUGUGGCUGUCUACCCUACACUGACCUGCAGUGCAUACUCGCGCGCGCGCACACACAGAGAAACGGUAACGCGUGCAGUGUUGGUGAGCUGAUUGCGGUCACACACACACACACACACAUACACAACGCAGUGGUGGUGCACAUCAAGUGCGACGUUACGUAUCACUGCUCUGCUUCCCAAUAGGGUUCGUGGCCCUCCUCGUUGGCUGCUGCGAUUUUCCAGCAGACGUCAACGUGGUGUCUCCGUCGCCCGCAUCACUGUGCUCUUGUGCUUCACUGCCAUGGUGUGGGAGCGCCACCACCACUGCACAUGCAUGGACCUCGUACAGCUUCUCUCAUGCCUGCCGCAGCUUUUCUCUCUGUUCACUUGCUCUGUCUGCUUCCUUCUUUUCCCCCAUCACGUGUCCUGCGGUGUACCGCCCCGCACGUCCUUUUGCCUUCUCAG